This 253-nucleotide ribosomal RNA is filed under the name uncultured bacterium. RNAcentral describes it as "partial 16S ribosomal RNA". It matches the Rfam family "Bacterial small subunit ribosomal RNA", at positions 524 to 776 of the family's 1533-position model. The record is from RNAcentral.
UACGGAGAGUGCAAACGUUAUUCGGAAUUACUGGGCUUAAAGAGUUCGUAGGCGGCGCAGAAAGUAGGGUGUGAAAGCCCUCGGCUCAACCGAGGAAUUGCGCUCUAAACUACUGUGCUUGAGGAAGCUAGAGGUGAGCGGAACUGAUGGUGGAGCGGUGAAAUGCGUUGAUAUCAUCAGGAACACCGGAGGCGAAGGCGGCUCACUGGGGCUUUUCUGACGCUGAGGAGCGAAAGCGUGGGGAGCGAACAGG